AGAAAAAUCAACCAAAAAAAAUGAGUUCGCGUGUCACCUCUGACACGCGUCAUAGGUUCGCCAUCACUGUAAGUCAUAGGUGACACUCAACCACUGAGCCACCACGGCUGGGCUGCAUUCUUGAAUUUUCAAUUCAUAGUUUUGACAUGGUUUUGACAUAAGUGCGUUACAGGACUUCUCUCACAGCCACGCACUGGGGUUCAGACUGGGAAAGGGACAGCCGGGUGCACGUGGGUCUCUAACCUGUGCUUGUCUGGCCCCACCUCUCCCUUCCCAGGCCUCACCUUAACCCCUAUCUGCCUCCGGCACACAGAGGCAGAUGUGCUAUCUGGGAUGAAGUUAAAUUUAAAAACCAGAACAGAGCAGCAAGGUGAGUUGGAGAGAAGCAGGGCAGUGUGGACGGCAGGAGUCCGAGGGUGGCAGAUGCGGCUGACUGAGGCUCCUGCCUGCAUCCUGCUGUCAGAAAGUGCUUGGCGGGAUGGGGCCGGGCCUCGGAGCCCAGCUGUGCCUGAGGACGCCGGCCUGGGACCCGCCACCACGGUCUCGUGCGCGGACUGCGGCCCCCACACCCCGUGCUGCAGGUGGAUGGUCAGGCUGCCGCCCAACCUCAGGACCACAGCAGCAGAGCCCACUGACCUCCUGUGUGUGGCGAAGUUGUCCAGGUCGGCAUUGCGCACCACCCGGUCGUAGGGCACGUUGGCCGUGAUGAGGCUGUGGCUGGUGAAGGCCAGGUGGCGGACGGGGUGUCUGGAACACAAGGGGAGAGCACUUUGCUGAAGCACUGAGCCAGGACACCCAGGGUGAAAAAUGUCCAGUGCAAGCGGAGACCUGCCAUCAGAGAUGCCCGCCUAGUCAAGGGAGAUGCCUGCCCUGGGUGCCCGUCCACAGAGGAAGGUGAACUCUGCCUCCACAUGGGCAUCGGCUGCCCUAAGGAAAAGGACUCAGAGUGAGCAACCUGUAGCUAUUCGGAAAGAAAGUGCUGCAGCAAAAUCCCGGAGGACUGUGAGGAGCCAACACACAGACCACGCAGUGACGCACAGAACAAACACUGAGCGUAGCAUAAGCGGACAGCCGGCUUAAGACCGAACGUGUCUGCCGGGCAGUAGAUACACACAGAGCAAACCCACCUAGAAGAGUUCAAACGGGUCACAAAGCAAAAUUCAAUAUGUGCUACACACACAUGCCAUGUGUGCAGGUGCAAGGAAGAGGUAGCAAUUUUCACACCAGAAAAGGGAUUUCAGAGCACAGAGAUGAGAUGAGAGUACUUUAGACUGAUGAAGGGUACAAUUCACUAAAUGUUCAGUAAAACCUGCCUGGAAAAAACCCAGAAAACCUACAUGGACCUAAUUUUUUAAUUUGGUUUCUUUGGUCAUUAUAAUCUGUUCAGGUCUUCUUUUUGUUUAAAUCUCCAAAUCUGAAGAUACAGAUGAAUGCAUGACUUUCCAAGAAAGACCCCUGGGGGCAGACAGUCCCAACAGAAGUAACAAAGAGUACACUGGGGCAGCUGUCCCGCACAGAGCACCUGGCCUGCCUGGGAGGAGCCCCCGGCUGCGGCACUGCCCGCAGGAGCAGAGGAAGCUUCCAGACCUCCAUAGAGCCAGCACGCUCUUCCAAGAAACCGACCAGGAGAGCACGCGGGAAGGCAGCAAUCGAUCGGCACCAAGGCUAAGACCUGAAUGAAAUAUUAACUAACAGAAUCCACCCAGCUCCUGUGAGCACAAUUCACCUACUGUUGUAACAAACGAGAAAAAACACAUGGUCACUCCCAUGGAUGCUGAAACGAAAUCUGAUGAAAUAUAUUUAUUCCUAAUAAAAAGUCUUUAAAAAAUAGUGAUCUAUACUUUUACCACUAAUAUGUCACAUUGUUUUUAAAAAAUGGAUAUAAUUAAAUAAAAGAAAAUAAGGUGGGAAUCCAGUAAUCGAGUAAAAAUGAGGUGAGAAUCAAAUGCAAAUUAAUGUCAAAAUCAACAGCUGUAUCUUAUGUACCAAUAACCACUAGCUUUAAAAAUGUAAGGCCCCACUUAUAAUAGCAAUUAAAGGCAAAAUACCCUAUAACUUUAUACCAUAUACAUUAUACCGAAAUAAAUUAUAGAAGGCUCAAGAGUCAGCAUAAUUAAACUCUAAAUAGUCAGAAUAGGAAAGGCCUUUCUAAAUAUAAAAAACCUGGAAGUCAAACAGAAAAAUAUUGAUAACUGUAUAUAAAGUAUUUAAGGUUUUCUCACAUGGGGGAGAAAAUCAUAAGUCAAAAUGAUCAAGUGGGGAAACGGUUGGUAACAGAGAGGGCUGGCAAAUGCCUUCAAAUUGAUAGUAAAGAUUGACAACCCAAAAGUAACAGGAGAGAAAAGAAAACCAUUCACAGAAAAGGAAAUACUAAUGGUUUUUAAACAUGUGUGACAUGUUCUAGUUCACUGGCGAUGAGAGAAAUUAGGAAGUAAAACUAAUGCAAUACACCACUUGUCCCCUAUCACCCAGCAAAGAUAAAGUUUGGCAGAACGCUCUGAGCCCCUCCGUGCUGUGAGACCUGGAGGCAGGUACUUAUGUGUGGCUGAUGUGAGCAUAAAUCCCUCUGGGGAGUGACUUGGUAAUAUCCAACAAAAUAAAAAACACACUACUGACCUGGCAGUUCUGCCUCUAAGAAUUCAGGAUAUAUCGCACGUGUCCAAAUGCAUACAAGGCCACUGGCCACAGCACUGUUUUUAGUAGCAGAAGAUGGGGCUUCUGUUUCAGCAACGUGUUGACCCACUCAUUGAAAAUCCCUUAAUACUGCUGGAUAUCCUUUUAAAUGCACUACUGAGCUCACAAAACCAGCGACUUCCCCAGGGCUCGAGCUGAGAACCAGCCUGGAGAGCUGGAGCUGCAGUGCCAGGCUCCUGUGUGCACGUGUGGUGGGUGAGGCUGCUGGCAGGUGCCAAUCUCAGGAGCCAAUGGGUCUGGAU
This is a long non-coding RNA of Myotis myotis, 2936 nucleotides long. RefSeq lists it as uncharacterized. The record is from RefSeq and is a predicted model, not a curated record. NCBI's taxonomy places the organism in Eukaryota, Metazoa, Chordata, Mammalia, Chiroptera, Vespertilionidae. The transcript is spliced from 5 exons.